Megalobrama amblycephala (Wuchang bream) is the source of this 1979-nucleotide long non-coding RNA. RefSeq lists it as uncharacterized. The transcript has 3 exons. The record is from RefSeq and is a predicted model, not a curated record. Lineage: Eukaryota; Metazoa; Chordata; Actinopteri; Cypriniformes; Xenocyprididae.
GCAGUGAUUGACAAGCCAGAGGGCCAAUCCGCGCACGUCUCUCACAAGGAACGUCACGGCAGUGAUUGACAAGCCAGAGGGCCAAUCGUUUACGCGAUGAUCGCGUAAACGAUUGGCUGAUGUUUUUGAGGCCCUACCUCCUGCACAGAUGUAUAUUAAUAUUAUUACUUUCAGUGCACCUAAUAAAUAGUCUUUUAUCAGUUAGUAAAGACAGUUUCAAGUAAUAUUGCAAAAAUGUAUAAAACAAAACAUCCUCUUUAGCACCUUUAAUCCCUGUGUGAAUAACAUUCAGCAUCUGACUCGGUUUGUAUUGAUUUCAGUCUGAAUUCAAUACAAACCGAGUCAGAUGAUGCUAGCAGCAGCACAUCUGUGUAAAUGUGCUGAGCAAGGAUGUAAAGUAACGAAUUACAAAUACUCAUGUUACUGUAAUUAAGUUGUUUUAUCAGAAAUGGUAAUUUUUUAAGUAGUUUAAAAAUUGUGUGCUUUUACUUGAGUAGGCCUACAUUUUAAGUAUCUCUGUACUUUACUCCUCUACUUUCCAUCCCUUUUGAUCGUUACAUGCUUGUUAAUUUUAAUUUUAUUUGUAUCUAUCAAUGUGAUUGGAUAGGGAGAGAGAAAUCGGUCUCGUGACUCCUCAAAUCAAAUCGCUCAUAGAAAACUCAAACCACAGCAGUAGAUGGCGCCAACUGCUGUUAUUCAUGUCUGCUGUGGAAGCACAUUCAAACAUCAAUUUAAUCGAGAAGUCAGCGUAUUCCUCUAUUUGAAGAAACAUGUUAAGGUAAAUUUAGGGUUUCUGCUUACUAAUUAACUGUAUAGGCUAGCGGGGGCUGCAAUUUGGUGCGAGGUUGCGGGUAUUGCGUAUAACUCCCGCAAGUGCCACGUUCAUAAUGCCAUUUAGAUUUAUAUAGAGAGAUGCGCGAACUGCACGUCUCCCGCUCGCGCGUAUGUUGGGGACAUUCUAAAGCGCUUAUUUGGAACCAUGUGCUUACCAUGGCUUAAUGCACUGAAAUUGGAAGACCAAAUUCAUUAUUCAUUGAUGACUCAUGGUGUUACACGUGCAUCAGAGCUGGAUGUGAUAAAACUAGAGCUUAUUAAUGAACAACGUUUUUGUUUGAUCCAUUUCAUACAGUCAGCAUCAACUAUUAAAUGCACUUGCGCAAAAGUAUUUUUCAAGUUCAACAUUCUUGUUACAGUAGUGUAGAGCAGCUUAUACCGCCGCUGGAGCUCAAAAAAGAUCUUUCUAUUAGCAUGCAUUUCUUCAUAAUAUAUGUGAACUAAAUUGGGCUAUACAUUUAGACUGGAUAAUACAUUUAAAUUAAUUAAUAUGCAACUUUCUCUAGUUUUUAAACUUCAAGAAUUUAUCUUUGCAUUUAAGUAUCUGCUGAUUAACACAGCAUCAUAUUCUAUUCCAAAUCAUUACUCCUAUAUUCUGAAAAUAAUAAUAAUAAUAAUAAUAAUAAUAGUAAUUUUAGGUCAGCAUCACCAAAUGAAUGCAUUAGAAUUUGAUUUAAAAAUUAAAUAGAAAAUAAAAUAUAUGGCACCAACCAUCUGACACCUGAAACAAAUAAUGAUCCAUUAGAGGUUCCUGCAACAACUGAUUGGUCUGAGGCAAUAAGCUAUUAAACUGUGAUUGGUGAUCGUUAGAGGCAGGAACUAUUAAAAAAAAGACCAGUUCAGUAACAAUUUUACAUUGUUUGUUAACUUUUCUUCUUUUUGUAGUGGGUGUGUUGAGAAUAGUUAAUGGUAGUUUUGGUUGGAUAUGGGUGAUGCCACUAUGCAAUCUUUAAAGUUUUUUUUGGCAGUACUCUUAAUCCUUGUUUGUGACAGUGCUUCUAAUGUUUAUGGUUAUAGCUCUGUCACCAAUGGAGGCUAUCCUGGAUAUCAUAACCCUAAAGUGGAUAAUGUUAAGCAACAGAGUUUCUACAGCUGGUGUGACCCAAAUGUAGCACGACCAACCAGGCCCCUGGGUUCCAAGAACA